RNAcentral lists this transfer RNA (64 nucleotides) under Tettigonia chinensis. RNAcentral describes it as "tRNA-Thr". It matches the Rfam family "tRNA". From Rfam's summary of the family: Transfer RNA (tRNA) molecules are approximately 80 nucleotides in length. Their secondary structure includes four short double-helical elements and three loops (D, anti-codon, and T loops). Lineage: Eukaryota; Metazoa; Arthropoda; Insecta; Orthoptera; Tettigoniidae. The record is from RNAcentral.
GUUUUAGUAGUUUAAUUAAAACACUGGUCUUGUAAACCAACAUUAAGGCUAUCCUUCUAAAACU